Solanum dulcamara is the source of this 3069-nucleotide RNA transcript. It is a transcript of the gene named cryptochrome-1, with no coding region annotated. Lineage: Eukaryota; Viridiplantae; Streptophyta; Magnoliopsida; Solanales; Solanaceae. The transcript is spliced from 5 exons. The record is from RefSeq and is a predicted model, not a curated record.
GGAUUAGAGAAGGCACUAGAGAUAGAGGCUUGGUGGAAUUUUGUUGCCUUCUUAGGAUAAGAAAGGAAGAAAAGAUAUAAAAAUAAAAUCUUAAAAAACCAUAAAGUUGUGGUUGCAAAUCUCCCAUAAGUUCUCUUGUUACCCCACCACCAUAACCAAUCAACCUCAACCUCCCUCUUUCUCUAGAGGGGUUUGUUUUUUUGGGUGGCCACUGCCUAUAGUAACUUCAAAAGAAUAGCAUCUCAUCAUUCAUCCAAGAAUAACAUUUGGGGUUUGUUAAAGUUAGGUUCUUUACUAGAAUUCUGCCUAAAAAAAUCAUCUUUGUAAUCUUUAUCUCCUCAGUGAAAGCUACAGGGAACAGUCAAAGAAUAGAUAAGAUUAAACCCAAUAUACUGUUGUCCAAGAAAGACUCACUAACAUGGUGUUUACAUAGAGAGAGAAAAAGAGUUGUGUUUAGAGUUAGGGUUGUUGAAGGAAGAUGGCAGGUGGUGGUUGUAGCAUAGUAUGGUUUAGGAGGGAUCUGAGAGUGGAAGAUAACCCUGCUUUGGCUGCUGGAGUGAGAGCAGGAGCAGUUAUUGCUGUGUUUAUUUGGGCUCCUGAAGAAGAAGGGCAUUAUUAUCCUGGUAGAGUUUCAAGAUGGUGGCUUAAGCAGAGUUUGGCUCAUCUUGAUUCAUCUUUGAAGAGUCUUGGAACGUCCCUUAUUACAAAGAGAUCUACUGAUAGUGUUUCUUCUCUUCUUGAAGUUGUCAAAUCCACUGGUGCUACUCAGCUCUUCUUCAAUCAUUUGUAUGAUCCUAUUUCACUUGUUAGAGAUCAUCGCACAAAAGAAAUCUUUACAGCUCAAGGUAUAUUGGUGCGUUCCUUUAAUGCUGAUUUGCUCUAUGAACCAUGGGAAGUUAACGAUGAUGAAGGUCGCCCGUUCACAACAUUUUCUGCUUUUUGGGAGAGAUGCCUUAGCAUGCCUUAUGAUCCAGAUGCUCCACUUCUUCCACCUAAAAGGAUUAUUUCUGGUGAUGCAUCAAGAUGCCUUUCAGACAACUUGGUAUUUGAAGAUGAAUCAGAGAAAGGAAGCAAUGCACUUCUUGCUCGGGCAUGGUCACCUGGCUGGAGUAAUGCUGAUAAAGCACUAACUACUUUCGUUAAUGGACCAUUACUUGAGUACUCGCAGAACCGUCGGAAAGCUGAUAGUGCAACAACAUCCUUUCUGUCUCCACAUUUACAUUUUGGAGAAGUCAGUGUUCGUAAGGUAUUCCAUCUUGUUCGCAUCAAGCAAGUUCUCUGGGCCAAUGAAGGAAAUAAAGCUGGUCAAGAGAGUGUUAAUUUGUUCCUCAAGUCCAUUGGGCUGAGGGAGUACUCAAGAUACAUGAGUUUUAAUCAUCCUUAUAGCCAUGAAAGGCCCUUGCUUGGUCACCUAAGGUACUUCCCAUGGGUAGUGGAUGAGGGCUACUUUAAGGCAUGGAGACAAGGUAGAACAGGUUAUCCUUUGGUUGAUGCUGGUAUGAGAGAGUUAUGGGCAACUGGCUGGCUACAUGAUCGUAUCCGAGUUGUGGUAUCUAGUUUCUUUGUGAAGGUUCUGCAGCUUCCAUGGAGGUGGGGAAUGAAAUAUUUUUGGGACACAUUGUUAGAUGCAGAUCUUGAGAGUGAUGCUCUAGGUUGGCAAUAUAUCUCUGGUACCCUACCUGAUGGUCGUGAGCUUGAUCGGAUUGAUAAUCCACAGUUUGUGGGAUACAAGUGUGACCCUCAUGGGGAAUAUGUCCGGCGGUGGCUUCCUGAACUUGCUAGGCUGCCCACCGAAUGGAUACACCAUCCAUGGAAUGCACCAGAAUCUGUACUUGAAGCUGCUGGCAUUGAGCUGGGUUCCAAUUAUCCUCUUCCGAUCAUUGAAAUUGAUUCAGCAAAAGUUAGACUAGAACAAGCCUUAUCACAAAUGUGGCAGAAUGAUGCAGCUGCAAGAGCUGCGAUUGAGAAUGGUAUGGAAGAAGGACAUGGUGACUCUGCUGACUCGCCAAUAGCCUUUCCGCAGGCCAUGCAUAUGGAGAUGGACCACGAAUCAGUCAGGAACAACCCCGUAAUAGUUACUGUUCGACGCUAUGAAGAUCAAAUGGUGCCAAGCAUGACGUCAUCUUUGUUCAGAGCUGAAGAUGAAGAGAACUCUGUGGAUAUUAGGAAUUCAGUUGUGGAAAGUAGGGCAGAAGUUCCAACAGACAUCAAUGUAGCUGAAGGUCCUAGGAGAGACACGCGUGACCAAGCCGUCAUGCAAACAGCUCGAACCAAUGCCACCCCACAUUUUAAUUUUGCGGUAGGGAGGAGGAAUUCUGAAGAUUCAACAGCAGAAUCUUCCAGUAGUACUAGAGAAAGGGAUGGGGGUGUAGUUCCUACAUGGUCUCCCUCAAGUACUAACUAUUCAGACCAAUAUGUUGGUGAUGAUAAUGGUAUUGGGACCAGUUCAUCUUACUUGCAGAGGCAUCCACAGUCUCAUCAGCUAAUGAACUGGCAGCGGCUUUCCCAAACAGGGUAAGCUACGUGAGAAUCUUGAAUCAUCAGUAGAAGACAUUCAUCAAAAAGAGAUGAAAAUGAGUGAUCAUUUAUGUGGAGCUACAAUAGCUACAAGGUGGAGAGGCAAGUGGCUAAUAUGACCAUUUGGCUCAGCACAUUAGUACGGUACUCAUCUACUCUUUAGUCCUGACCUGAUCAGCCAUCACUGUGUCUAUAUCUCUAAUUGAUCAGGUGGUUCGUCUGGAAUUUCAUUCUCAUCUGUCGGGCAACCCCAUUUACCUAAUGUACCAUAUAUGUGUGUCUGCUGUAUAGUAUAGAAGUUCUCAUUAAGACCAAAUAAGUGUUAGAAAGGGGUUACAGUCCUCUGUCAUGCUCACACUUGUGCCUUUCUUUUCUGCUACUUACAUUUUGAUGGCAAUAACGAUUAUCUGAAGUCCUGGCACUGAUUAGAACUUCGUGGAUAUCAUAGUUUUAAACUCUGUUUGCCGGCUGUACAUGUGGUUGAAGCAGCUUCAUCUCAUAUUUUUGUUGUCGGAACAUUGUCACUAUUAUAUAAGAUUUCUAGUUUGAACA